CCUACGGGAGGCAGCAGUGGGGAAUCUUGCGCAAUGGGCGAAAGCCUGACGCAGCAACGCCGCGUGCGGGAAGAAGGCUCUCGGGUUGUAAACCGCUUUCAGCAGGAACGAAAAUGACGGUACUUGCAGAAGAAGGUGCGGCCAACUACGUGCCAGCAGCCGCGGUGACACGUAGGCACCAAGCGUUGUCCGGAUUUAUUGGGCGUAAAGAGCUCGUAGGCGGUUCGGUAAGUCAGGUGUGAAAACUUUGGGCUCAACCCAAAGCCUGCAUCUGAUACUGCUGUGACUAGAGUUCGGUAGGGGAGCGGGGAAUUCCUAGUGUAGCGGUGAAAUGCGCAGAUAUUAGGAGGAACACCGGUGGCGAAGGCGCCGCUCUGGGCCGAAACUGACGCUGAGGAGCGAAAGCGUGGGUAGCAAACAGGAUUAGAUACCCUGGUAGUCCACGCCGUAAACGUUGGGCACUAGGUGUGGGUUUCAACCAACGAAAUCCGCGCCGUCGCUAACGCAUUAAGUGCCCCGCCUGGGGAGUACGGCCGCAGGUUAAAACUCAAAGAUAGNGGCGUGNGAGUGCGACGACGACGACGAGGAGGAGG
This 593-nucleotide ribosomal RNA is filed under the name uncultured bacterium. RNAcentral describes it as "bacterial SSU rRNA". It matches the Rfam family "Bacterial small subunit ribosomal RNA", at positions 338 to 944 of the family's 1533-position model. The record is from RNAcentral.